RNAcentral lists this ribosomal RNA (450 nucleotides) under uncultured bacterium. RNAcentral's name for it is "bacterial SSU rRNA". It matches the Rfam family "Bacterial small subunit ribosomal RNA", at positions 354 to 796 of the family's 1533-position model. The record is from RNAcentral.
GUGGGGAAUAUUGGACAAUGGGCGAAAGCCUGAUCCAGCCAUGCCGCGUGUGUGAAGAAGGUCUUCGGAUUGUAAAGCACUUUAAGUUGGGAGGAAGGGCAGUAAGUUAAUACCUUGCUGUUUUGACGUUACCGACAGAAUAAGCACCGGCUAACUUCGUGCCAGCAGCCGCGGUAAUACGAAGGGUGCAAGCGUUAAUCUGAAUUACUGGGCGUAAAGCGCGCGUAGGUGGUUUUGUAAGUUGGAGGUGAAAUCCCCGGGCUCAACCUGGGAACUGCCUCCAAAACUGCAUGACUAGAGUACGGUAGAGGGUAGUGGAAUUUCCUGUGUAGCGGUGAAAUGCGUAGAUAUAGGAAGGAACACCAGUGGCGAAGGCGACUACCUGGACUGAUACUGACACUGAGGUGCGAAAGCGUGGGGAGCAAACAGGAUUAGAUACCCUAGUAGUCC